GCGCUCGUAGCCCAACGGCAGGAGGCACAAGGCUUAGACCCUUGGUAGUGUCGGUUCGAAUCCGACCGGGCGUA
RNAcentral lists this transfer RNA (74 nucleotides) under Streptomyces sp. JV178. RNAcentral's name for it is "tRNA-Leu". It matches the Rfam family "tRNA". Rfam says of the family: Transfer RNA (tRNA) molecules are approximately 80 nucleotides in length. Their secondary structure includes four short double-helical elements and three loops (D, anti-codon, and T loops). Further hydrogen bonds mediate the characteristic L-shaped molecular structure. tRNAs have two regions of fundamental functional importance: the anti-codon, which is responsible for specific mRNA codon recognition, and the 3' end, to which the tRNAs corresponding amino acid is attached (by aminoacyl-tRNA synthetases). tRNAs cope with the degeneracy of the genetic code in two manners: having more than one tRNA (with a specific anti-codon) for a particular amino acid; and 'wobble' base-pairing, i.e. permitting non-standard base-pairing at the 3rd anti-codon position. The record is from RNAcentral. Lineage: Bacteria; Bacillati; Actinomycetota; Actinomycetes; Kitasatosporales; Streptomycetaceae.